RNAcentral lists this ribosomal RNA (253 nucleotides) under uncultured bacterium. Its description in RNAcentral is "partial 16S ribosomal RNA". It matches the Rfam family "Bacterial small subunit ribosomal RNA", at positions 524 to 776 of the family's 1533-position model. The record is from RNAcentral.
UACGUACGGUGCGAGCGUUAAUCGGAAUUACUGGGCGUAAAGUGUGCGCAGGCGGCCGAGCAAGUCGAGUGUGAAAGCCCCGAGCUUAACUUGGGAACUGCGCUCGAAACUACUUGGCUAGAGUGUGGCAGAGGGAGGUGGAAUUCCACGUGUAGCGGUGAAAUGCGUAGAGAUGUGGAGGAACACCGAUGGCGAAGGCAGCCUCCUGGGCCAACACUGACGCUCAUGCACGAAAGCGUGGGGAGCAAACAGG